This 63-nucleotide transfer RNA is filed under the name Figulus binodulus. RNAcentral describes it as "tRNA-Gly". The record is from RNAcentral. Lineage: Eukaryota; Metazoa; Arthropoda; Insecta; Coleoptera; Lucanidae.
ACUUGCAUAAUAUAAAAAUUAUAUCUGACUUCCAAUCAGAAAAUCUAUCAUAUAGUACAAGUA